This 301-nucleotide ribosomal RNA is filed under the name uncultured bacterium. Its description in RNAcentral is "partial 16S ribosomal RNA". It matches the Rfam family "Bacterial small subunit ribosomal RNA", at positions 509 to 807 of the family's 1533-position model. The record is from RNAcentral.
CAGUAGCCGCGGUAAAACAGAGGGUGCAAGCGUUAAUCGGAAUUACUGGGCGUAAAGCGCGCGUAGGUGGUUUGUUAAGUUGGAUGUGAAAUCCCCGGGCUCAACCUGGGAACUGCAUCCAAAACUGGCAAGCUAGAGUAUGGUAGAGGGUGGUGGAAUUUCCUGUGUAGCGGUGAAAUGCGUAGAUAUAGGAAGGAACACCAGUGGCGAAGGCGACCACCUGGACUGAUACUGACACUGAGGUGCGAAAGCGUGGGGAGCAAACAGGAUUAGAUACCCCAGUAGUCCCUGUCUCUUAUAC